This 312-nucleotide ribosomal RNA is filed under the name uncultured bacterium. RNAcentral describes it as "bacterial SSU rRNA". It matches the Rfam family "Bacterial small subunit ribosomal RNA", at positions 29 to 326 of the family's 1533-position model. The record is from RNAcentral.
AACGAACGCUGGCGGCGUGGAUAAGACAUGCAAGUCGAGCGGGAACUUUCGCUGUAGCAAUACAGUGAAAGUUCUAGCGGCGAACGGGUGCGUAACACGUGGACAAUCUGCCUUAAAGUGGGGGAUAGCUCGGCGAAAGCCGAAUUAAUACCGCAUGUGAUGAGAGACGACAUCGUCUUGAAAUCAAAGCCGGGGCAACCUGGCGCUUUUGAGGAGUCCGCGGCCAUCAGCUUGUUGGUGAGGUAACGGCUCACCAAGGCUAUGACGGGUAGCUGGUCUGAGAGGACGACCAGUCACACUGGAACUGAGACA